UGCCACUGACAAGAACUUUUAUUUCUUUUUAAUGACAUUAAACACAACUGCUACAAGGGAAAAAACAUAGUAGAGGAGGCACCAAACUUCAGUUUCAUAAUUGAUCCUGACAACAAUGCAAGUAAAUCAGGGUCUGUAUUAGAUGUAAAAAAUAUAGGUUAUAUCAGGUGCCUUUAUUACAAAUAAACUAUUUACACAGCACAUUUUACUGUUUUGUCAAGACCCCAUGGUAAGAAUGUCAUUAUGAAUGAAGAAAGCUAGGUAGGAAGUUAAAUGCACAAAACCCUUACUCAAAUUUAAAAAUACAGUUAAAUUCCACCUGAAAUACUAGACAUAGAGGCCCACACCAAAUGUGAGAUAGGCAGCUUUGAAAAGAGGUUAAAACUCCAGAUUCUACCCACUACCAUCUUUAAGGCAAACAUGCCAGAUAAUGAGUUUUCUUUGGCUUUGUUUUUUCUUCUUGAAGAAUACCAUGUUAACCACUAGAGAACAGUUUUCUCCUUCCCCAGUUCAACAGAUUUAAUUAAGCUGCUAAAGCUUUAGAAAAACAGAAUUAUUUGAGCUAACAGGAAAUGUGAUUGUCACAUUGUCUAGUUAACCUGUCACUCAUUUGAUUUGGCAAAGGCAAUCCUCCCAUUACACAUUCCGUUUAAACCUUCCUGUACCAGGAAGGCGGGAACCUGAGUCAUAGAUCUUUGCUGAAGCAAAAUGUCCCUUCACUCCUUGGAUUAUCUGUGAGGAAUUAGACAGCUGUAAUGCUAGCUAUUCCGGCUACAUUUAAUUUUAACUAUGUUUUGGUCCCAAAGGUGGGUGUCUGGCAUGUCUCACUCCAUCAGGCUAAUUUAGGGCAGCCUGGAGAAGUGACCAAUGAAGUAAAUGCCAGUUAUGCCAACUGAAAGAACAGAUUUUGACUACUGCCUUCAAAUGGAAUUUUCCAUUACAUUCUAGUUCAGAAUCUAAACAAAAUGUCCAAGGAAAAGAGAAUCCUUGGAUAAAAACAUUAAACACUUAGAGGCAUGUAUCCAAAUUUAUUGGAGGCUUGAAUGACCAAACUUUUCUCAAGUAGGGUAUAAUGCUUAAAACGGGUUACUCACAUACAAAGAUGGGGCUGAUGAAAUGACAAAACCAGGUAGAGGCUACAACAACUAUGAACAACUUUCACAGAGGGUAAAUAGCAGCAGCAUGAAUGCCAGACUGCAAAACUUCCAAAAAUGAUGUCUAAAACUGUAUGUAAAGAGAAGUACAACCUCUUAAGACAUCCAUUAAGACAGGUGCACAGUCUGUCAGCUUUGGUUAGAAUAUCAAACCUCAAGAUCAGGUAAUGCUUUUGUGGACAGACUCAAUCACAAUAUUAUCAGACCCACUCAAGCAGUUAUGUGAAAUUAGGCAUCAGGGGUCUGAUGACCCCCUGAUGAGGAGAUAGUAACAUCAAGAGUCUAAAGACACCUGUUAACCAAUAAUGGAGAUAAAGAGUGCCUCUCCAAGGUCUCUCCUAGAGGUUAGAAGCUCCCUGACUAACACUCUCACUUAAAAGUUAAGCUUCAUCAGAUGAAACUGAAGACCAAUAUCUCAAUGGCACCGGGCUAUCAUCAAGUCAAGAGUCUGGGUGGGCAGCUCUUCAAUAAGAGAGCAAAGAGCCCAUUCUAAAGAGGCAUAUCCAUGUCUAACAACAUACAGGAAUACUGCCUAUAGAUUCCCAGGGAACAGAGUGGUCACUGUGGGUGUGGAUGGGGGAGAAAAAAAAAAAAAAAAAAAAAAGGAAAAUUCUUGAAGAAGGGCAGAAACAACUGUCACAAGACCACAACGUAUUCAACAGGGGUUGGUCAGCAGUAUUCUGUCAGAAUUAAGAUGUGUAAGAUCUGUAAACACUAUGUGCAAAAUAAGUUUAACAGAGAAUGAAGAAAAGCCAAAGAUGAUAAUAAAAAUAGGGCCGGAGAUGUCCUUCAGGUGGUAUAAUGCUUGCCUAGCAUGCAUGAAGCCCUGCAAUCAAUCCCCAAUACCUGGGGAGAGAGCAGGAAAAAAAAAAUAUCAUAGUAAUUUAUAAGUAUAGAAAGUAGAGGGUUUACAUUUUUUUUUGGUACCAGUGAUCAAACUCCAGACCUUGCACUUUCAAGGCAGGUGGUGGCACCACUGAAAUAAAUCCCUGGCCCUACAUUUUAAAUUUAUCCUUUCAACACGAUUUUUCUCCUACUCCAUCUUACUUUAAAUACCUGGACUACCAACUUUAAAAUACUGACAGGUAGUCAGAGAUUCAAAUUUAAAAGAGGGUUUGGUAAAAGUGACUUAUAUCCACUCACAAGUCAUCAUGAUAAUUAACAUUUGCUUAUAGCUUGGUAAAGAAUCUCUUGUUUUUGGUUUGUUUUUUUUUUUUUUGGUACGGGGGAUUGAACUUGGGAUCUU
Molecule: long non-coding RNA, 2400 nt
Filed under: Heterocephalus glaber (naked mole-rat)
Lineage: Eukaryota; Metazoa; Chordata; Mammalia; Rodentia; Bathyergidae
Description: lncRNA (ENSHGLG00100045521.1)
Source: RNAcentral